UACGUAGGGUGCGAGCGUUGUCCGGAAUUAUUGGGCGUAAAGGGCUCGUAGGCGGUCUGUUGCGUCGGGAGUGAAAACUCAGGGCUUAACCCUGAGCCUGCUUCCGAUACGGGCAGACUAGAGGUAUGCAGGGGGAGAACGGAAUUCCUGGUGUAGCGGUGAAAUGCGCAGAUAUCAGGAGGAACACCGGUGGCGAAGGCGGUUCUCUGGGCAUUACCUGACGCUGAGGAGCGAAAGUGUGGGGAGCGAACAGG
This 254-nucleotide ribosomal RNA is filed under the name uncultured bacterium. RNAcentral's name for it is "partial 16S ribosomal RNA". It matches the Rfam family "Bacterial small subunit ribosomal RNA", at positions 524 to 776 of the family's 1533-position model. The record is from RNAcentral.